Molecule: long non-coding RNA, 492 nt
Filed under: Olea europaea (common olive)
Lineage: Eukaryota; Viridiplantae; Streptophyta; Magnoliopsida; Lamiales; Oleaceae
Description: long non-coding RNA (OEUR_LNC012953)
Source: RNAcentral
UUUGGCAAGCUUCGCCUCCUCGGCAAGGUUCACAAACUUCGACACCGCCGAUUCACUGGUCUUCACAUCCUCCGAAGUCAUCACGAUAUCCCCAAAAACUAUUAGAAAUAAUCUAAAUUUGGAAUAAUUAACAAAAAUAAAAAUAUGUUUGUAAAAGAUCGAUGAUCAAAUCCGCGAUUCGGUCGUCAAUGAAAAUACUUCUGGAGUAUUUGCACUCUCUCUUCACCGUCGCGGCGAUUGUUGGCGGGAAAGUGAGAGAGAUUGGGAAAUGCGGCACAAAGAGUGUUCGGUGUGGUUACGAGAGGCGGCGUUUACGAAAAAACAGAGUAUUCGCCGGCUUGAUUAUGAAUAGGAUUGUGUGGCUUAAAUUCUAUUUCCGUUUGCUUCAGUUUGGCCCAACUAAUUUAUAAAUGGUUUAUAAGUACAAUUAAAUUUAAACAUUUAUAAAUUUCCCAAACUAUAUAUCUAAGUUAACUAAUGUGGAAAUUUUUU